RNAcentral lists this ribosomal RNA (305 nucleotides) under uncultured bacterium. Its description in RNAcentral is "bacterial SSU rRNA". It matches the Rfam family "Bacterial small subunit ribosomal RNA", at positions 334 to 636 of the family's 1533-position model. The record is from RNAcentral.
UCGCCCUACGGGACGCAGCAGUGAGGAAUAUUGGUCAAUGGGCGAGAGCCUGAACCAGCCAAGUCGCGUGAGGGAUGACUGCCCUAUGGGUUGUAAACCUCUUUUGUAUGGGGGGAAUAAGCUUUACGAGUAGAGUGAUGACAGUACCAUACGAAUAAGGAUCGGCUAACUCCGUGCCAGCAGCCGCGGUAAUACGGAGGAUCCGAGCGUUAUCCGGAUUUAUUGGGUUUAAAGGGUGCGUAGGCGGUUUGAUAAGUUAGAGGUGAAAUGUCGGGGCUCAACCCCGAAACUGCCUCUAAUACUGU